CCGGCUUCAGCAAAACUCUUAUGUUUUGCGAACUGGGAUAUGUAGGGUUGUUUUUAUUAUUUAUGUUUUCAAUAUUUUACAACGAGGAUACAUUAAUUUUGGGGUCAUGUGUAUAUGUACGUAGUGCCGUAUGCGGCUCGUCACGUACGGAAAGUCAGAAGCUACCCGAGACCCCACCAACCCCAGACUCCGGCCUGAGCCCCGCCCAUUGCGAUCCGGAAGCUGGGCGCCCAUCGGAGGACUCGGGAAAACCCGGAGCGGCAUUCCUAGACAGAUGGGCCGCGGACUUUCGGCGCGUGCGCAGAAGGUGUCGCAGGCGCUUACUCCGGGGCGGUCCCUAUAUCGCGGACUGGCGCCAGCGCGCGCCUCUCAGGCCCGCAAAGUCCGCGCCCGGGUGCGGGAUGGCGGCCAGCCUGUGGAUGGGAGACCUUGAACCCUACAUGGAUGAGAGCUUCAUCUCCAGAGCCUUUGCCACCAUGGGGGAGACCGUGAUGAGCGUCAAAAUUAUCCGAAACCGCCUCACUGGGAUCCCAGCUGGCUACUGCUUUGUAGAAUUUGCAGAUUUGGCCACAGCUGAGAAGUGUUUGCAUAAAAUUAAUGGGAAACCCCUUCCAGGAGCCACACCUGCAAAACGUUUUAAACUGAACUAUGCCACUUAUGGGAAACAGCCAGACAAUAGUCCUGAGUACUCCCUCUUUGUCGGGGACCUGACCCCUGAUGUGGAUGACGGCAUGCUGUAUGAGUUCUUCGUCAAAGUCUACCCUUCCUGUCGGGGAGGCAAGGUGGUUCUGGACCAGACAGGCAUUUCUAAAGAUCGAACUCAGGACCUUGCGCUUGCAAGGCAGGUGCAGUGCCACUGAGCUAAACCCCCAGCCCUGAAAAACUCAUUCUUGAUCAGCAUAGUAGUCAUAAACUUAUGUUUUGGGAGCCUGAAGAUACAGAUUUGAAUCCUGCUUCUAUUAUGUAUGACUUUGGGUAAGUUAUUAAACCUCUCUGAACUUUGGCUACCUCAGUAAAAUGUGGAUACCACCUUCAUGUAAUUAUUGGAUGGUUUCACUGAAUGUGGUAGCACACACGUAUAAUCCCAGCACUCUGGGAGGCUGAGGCAAAAUGAUUACAAAUUUGACCCCAGCUUGGGUAACUUGGCUACUUAGCUAAACCCUGUCUCAAAAAAAGGUAAAGACCUAGAGAUGUAGCUCAGUGUGAAGGCCCUGAGUUCAAUUCCCAAUAUGGAGGGGUUGGGGGGUUAGGAUAAUUAGAUGAAAUAACCCUGGGAAAAUUUUCAGCAUAGUGCUUGGAAAUAAGUGCUCAUUAGAUGUUAGCUGUCAUUAACUUAUUCCCUGACUAGAAUAUGAUCUCCAGCGAGCAGGAAUUGGUUCUAACUACUGUGUCCCAUGCCUGGUGCAAUACUGGGCAUUCAGGGCAAUUUCUGAAAACAUUUGCAGAGUGAACUUCAACCAUUAUUACUACUAAUAUUAAGAUAAUAAUAAUUUGUUACUGGGCUGGGGAUUUAGCUCAGUAGUUUCGCUGCCUGCUGCGCAAGCUCAAGGACCCGAGUUCGAUCCCUGGUACCAAAAAUAAAACAAAAUAAUAAUAAUUUGUUACCUUCCAGUACAAUGGGAGGGAAGCUGUUAUUUGGGAAGAAACCCCAUCGGUGAACUGAAAGUGAAGAUCCCUGCAGAUUUCAUCAUCAUCCAAGGCUUGAAUCCCAACACCACUGUGUGGACAUUUCCAUUAAUGGGACUCACAUCCCUUCCCAUAAUUUGAUGGACUCCCCCUCCCUUCUCAGCUCCUAUUCUCCACAUUCUGGCCCACAUUGUUGCUCUUUCCUCUUUGUCUAAUGUCCAUUCUUAGACUUCAUCACAUCUGUGAUCUAAGUGUGUUGGGGUUUUUUUCCCCUGUAGGGGUUAUGGUUUUGUGAAAUUCACAGAUGAAUUGGAACAGAAGCGAGCCCUGACAGAGUGCCAAGGAGCAGUAGGACUGGGGUCUAAACCUGUACGGCUGAGCGUGGCAAUCCCUAAAGCGAGCCGUGUAAAGCCAGUGGAAUAUAGCCAGAUGUACAGUUACAGCUACAACCAGUAUUACCAACAGUACCAGAACUAC
This is a non-coding RNA of Heterocephalus glaber (naked mole-rat), 2103 nucleotides long. Lineage: Eukaryota; Metazoa; Chordata; Mammalia; Rodentia; Bathyergidae. The record is from RefSeq and is a predicted model, not a curated record.